This is a long non-coding RNA of Brienomyrus brachyistius, 459 nucleotides long. RefSeq lists it as uncharacterized. The transcript is spliced from 4 exons. Lineage: Eukaryota; Metazoa; Chordata; Actinopteri; Osteoglossiformes; Mormyridae. The record is from RefSeq and is a predicted model, not a curated record.
GUGGGAUUUGGGCAUAAGGAGGCGGAGCUGCACUCCAUCAUGGUGCGAUUUGGGCAUAAGGAGGCGGAGCUGCACUCCAGCAUGGUGGGAUUUGGGCAUAAGGAGGUGGAGCUGCACUCCAUCAUGGUGCGAUUUGGGCAUAAGGAGGCGGAGCUGCACUCCAGCAUGGUGGGAUUUGGGCAUAAGGAGGCGGAGCUGCACUCCAGCAAGGUGGAAUUUGGGCAUAAGGAGGCGGAGCUGCACUCCAUCAUGGUGCAAUUUGGGCAUAAGGAGGCGGAGCUGCACUCCAGCAUGGUGCGAUUUGGGCAUAAGUAGGCGGAGCUGCACUCCGGCAAGGUGCGAUUUGGGCAUAAGGAGGCGGAGCUGCACUCCAGCAUGGUGCGAUUUGGGCAUAAGGAGGCGGAGCUGCACUCCAGCAUGGUGCGAUUUGGGCAUAAGGAGACGGAGCUGCACUCCAUC